UCCCGUUGGAAAACCGCUCGAUUCAAUUGGAUUCUGCCUGCUCCUAACUCGGGCCUUCCUGAAUUCUUUGGAUUUCAUUUGCUCUCUGAAGAUUUCUUUGGGUUCUUAUAGGCCAUCCCCUAACCUUGAAAUCUGACAAGGAGUGCAAAAUGUGGAACCAAAUCCUCUGUCGUGGUUAUUAUAGCACAACAUGUGCAGUUGCAGAAUCGCAGUCCUGCUUAAGUUUGGGUGGCUCUUAUCUUCUCUUUUUGUUCUCCGUUACCUGGAUCAUGCAUCAGCAUGUCUUCCCAUCGGCAUCCGAUUGAGAUCCUGCAAAGAGAGCACAAGCAGUUUGACGUUUCGGCGCUGGGAUUUUUUAUGGCCUCAUGUUUUUUUGAGAUCAAACGCUGCAAUGUAUUACUCAAACGGCAUAAUCAGAUGCCAAAAUGUUUACAAUGAACUCCGGUGGGGAAACCAACCAGGUGUUACAAAGCUUAUUUCCGCAGACACAGGCAGCUUGAUGCAUCUGCUCGAGCGUUCUUUGUUGCCGGCCGGCUAGCGAACGAGAUGGUUGUGAUUAAUGAUUGUGGUGAUUGUGGCCACCAGCGUGCUCUAAUGCCGGCUAAAAACUUUAUUCACCUACGAGUAAUCCUAAUUUGGACAAAGGCAACUGAGAUUGCAGAGGAUUUGAGUCUGGAAUGGAGUUGUAGGAAACUUUGGAUAUUCUCUAGAGAGGACUCA
This is a non-coding RNA of Lolium perenne, 720 nucleotides long. The record is from RefSeq and is a predicted model, not a curated record. Lineage: Eukaryota; Viridiplantae; Streptophyta; Magnoliopsida; Poales; Poaceae.